GAUGAAGAACGCAGCGAAAUGCGAUAAGUAAUGUGAAUUGUAGAAUUCAGUGAAUCAUCGAAUCUUUGAACGCAUCUUGCGCUCCUUGGUAUUCUGAGGAGCAUGCCUGUUUGAGUGUCAUUAAAUUCUCAACUACACUGACUUUGAAUUGGUGUGGCUUGGAUUUGGGGGGAAAAUUGUUGUGGGCUUUUUGUAUAGUCUGCUCCCCUGAAAUUGAUUAGCGGUACCUUUGUGGAACUGUCUACAGGUGUGAUAAUUAUCUACAUCUUAGACAUCUGCUGGAAUGCUGCUUUCUAAACCUUACUUGUAUUGACAAUCUUGACCUCAAAUCAGGUAGGACUACCCGCUGAACUUAAGCAUAUCAAUAAGCGGAGGA
RNAcentral lists this unclassified non-coding RNA (376 nucleotides) under soil metagenome. RNAcentral describes it as "partial contains 5.8S ribosomal RNA, internal transcribed spacer 2, and large subunit ribosomal RNA". The stretch from base 1 to 120 matches the Rfam family "5.8S ribosomal RNA", at positions 35 to 154 of the family's 154-position model. The record is from RNAcentral.